GGAUGAAGAACGUAGCGAAAUGCGAUAAGUAAUGUGAAUUGCAGAAUUCAGUGAAUCAUCGAAUCUUUGAACGCACAUUGCGCCCGCCAGUAUUCUGGCGGGCAUGCCUGUUCGAGCGUCAUUUCAACCAUCAAGCCCUGCUUGCGUUGGGGUCCUGCGGCUGCCCGCAGGCCCUGAAAACCAGUGGCGGGCUCGCUAGUCACACCGAGCGCAGUAAUACAUCUCGCUUUGGGCGUGCGGCGGGUUCUUGCCGUUAAACACCCCCUUUUUACCAAGGUUGACCUCGGAUCAGGUAGGAAUACCCACUGAACUUAAGCAUAUCAAUAAGCGGAGGA
RNAcentral lists this unclassified non-coding RNA (335 nucleotides) under soil metagenome. RNAcentral's name for it is "partial contains 5.8S ribosomal RNA, internal transcribed spacer 2, and large subunit ribosomal RNA". The stretch from base 2 to 121 matches the Rfam family "5.8S ribosomal RNA", at positions 35 to 154 of the family's 154-position model. The record is from RNAcentral.